Molecule: ribosomal RNA, 388 nt
Filed under: uncultured bacterium
Lineage: Bacteria
Description: bacterial SSU rRNA
Rfam family: Bacterial small subunit ribosomal RNA
Source: RNAcentral
AAUGAACGCUGGCGGCGCGCCUAAUACAUGCAAGUCGAGCGAGAAGACGUAGCAAUACGUUUGUAAAGCGGCGAACGGGUGAGGAAUACAUGGGUAACCUACCCUCGAGUGGGGAAUAACUAGCCGAAAGGUUAGCUAAUACCGCGUACGCUUCCUGGACUUCGGUUCAGGGAGGAAAGCGAUGCCGAGGGUAUCGCGCUCUUGGAUGGGCUCAUGUCCUAUCAGCUUGUUGGGAGGUAACGGCUCACCAAGGCUUCGACGGGUAGCUGGUCUGAGAGGACGAUCAGCCACACUGGCACUGCGACACGGGCCAGACUCCUACGGGAGGCAGCAGUAAGGAAUAUUGCGCAAUGGGCGAAAGCCUGACGCAGCGACGCCGCGUGGGGGA